UAUCUUUGCCCGCGAAUUGGUUCCGGAUGCAUGUUUCCAUCAUCUGGAUUAAAAGGGAAUCGGGUGUAAAUCCCGGACAGUCCCGCUGCUGUGAAGCUCCGUUUAUAUCAUGAAAAACACCCUUGCCACUGAUAUGCAUUGAAAUAUCGGGAAGGCUUCAGGAUUAGGAGUCAGUCAGAAGACCUGCCAUUCAUUAAAGGCUGCC
RNAcentral lists this non-coding RNA (205 nucleotides) under Bacteroides uniformis. Lineage: Bacteria; Pseudomonadati; Bacteroidota; Bacteroidia; Bacteroidales; Bacteroidaceae. RNAcentral also lists the same sequence under 2 other names. The record is from RNAcentral.